GGAUGACGACAUAUCGAAUGACGAGUCAUCCGCGAAUCGGGUGACGAACGUUUCGGGCGCGCCCCAUACCGAAAAUCAUCCGUUUCCGAUCUGAUUUGGCGACGCAGAGGAAAGAAUGAUCGAUGCUGGUCGUGUUUGCCAAGUAUCGCCAUUUGUAAAAUCAAGAUCUUGAAAAGAUGUUGUGCAAAGAAUUUCAAAUCCGUAAAUUCUUUGAACAUCUUAAUGUUGGACGCAGGCAAUUCUCACCGAUAUAAUUGGACUACGCAUUGUCCCACCCGGACCCGAGGGGGAAUUG
Aedes albopictus (Asian tiger mosquito) is the source of this 295-nucleotide long non-coding RNA. RefSeq lists it as uncharacterized. The record is from RefSeq and is a predicted model, not a curated record. The transcript has 2 exons. Lineage: Eukaryota; Metazoa; Arthropoda; Insecta; Diptera; Culicidae.